Molecule: RNA transcript, 11999 nt
Organism: Salvelinus fontinalis (brook trout)
Lineage: Eukaryota; Metazoa; Chordata; Actinopteri; Salmoniformes; Salmonidae
Gene name: carboxyl-terminal PDZ ligand of neuronal nitric oxide synthase protein
Exons: 13
Source: RefSeq, a predicted model, not a curated record
UUGAUCCGAACCCUAGAGGUUUUUCUUCACUGAACCAAAAUGGUUCCAUAUAGAGGCCUGCAUGGUGCAAUUUAUGAAUUGUCUACUAUUAAAUAGUCAUAUUUUGAGUGAAGAAUAUAAUUUAAUCAACAUAUAGACAAGAAUAUCAGCAAUGUUUUUUAGAAUUGAUUGUCAUUAUAUGCAAACAUAGUUUGGAAAUAUGCACAGAUUUUUACCUUGUCAGCUCGGGGAUUCGGUCUUGCAACCUUUCAGUUAAUAGUCCAAUGCUCUAACCACUAGGCUACCUGCCACCCAAUGAUGGUCCUCGUUAACUUCUUUACCAAUGCAAUACAACUUGUCCAUUAGUGUCUUUUGCUCUGUUCUCAACCCUCCCCCCACAUUUCCAGAGCAAGCAUAAAUUGGCUUUAGCAAUUGCGGGCUGGUGCGGUUGAACAAACAGCUGACCCACCUGCAAGUAGCUUACCAAUAAGCACGUUAUUUUUCAAUGUGUUAAGUAUUACAGUGUGGAGUCGAUUGAGGGACCAGCCUAUGUUUCAUGAAGCCAUUAGAAGACUGUUGCUGACUGAGAGAAGGUAGAUUAUGUAUACAUAAUUUAUUAUAAAUAAUGUAUAAUAAGAACUCGAUUUGGCUUCAGCAAGCCUCCAGAGGCUCUGCAAUUGCAUCAAACCCUCCGUAUGGAUCCUACGGAUCGCAUUUUCAGAACGAGCAUAAAUUGCCUAUAACCCGCAAAUAUAAAAAAUGGCUGUAGGCCAUUGAGAAACAGCUGAACUAUUUUUUUUGACAAGGGGUGCAGGAUUUCUUUUCAGCAGAUAUGUUUCUGCUUAUAAUUUCUGACAUUUUGGUAGGCAAGUUGUUAGUCAACUUGUCUAUAAUUACAGUUGAAGUCAGAAAUUUGCAUACACUUAGGUUAGAGUCAUUAAAACUCAUUUUUCAACCACUCCACAAAUUUCUUGUUAACAAACUAUAGUUUUGGCAAGUCGGUUAGGACACUACUUUGUGCAUGACACAAUUCAUUUCCCCAAGAAUUGUUUACAGACGGAUUAUUUCACUUAUAGUUUACUGUAUCACAAUUCCAAUGGCCCAGAAGUUUACAUACACUUAGUUGAUUGUGCCUUUAAACAGCUUGGAAAAUUCCAGAAAAUGAUGUCAUGGCUUUAGAAGCUUCUGAUAGGCUAAUUGACAUCAUUUGAGUCAAUUGGAGGUGUACAUGUGGAUUUAUUUCAAGGCCUAUCUUCAAACUCAUUGCCUCUGCUUGACAUCAUGGGAAAAUCAAAAGAAAUCAGCCAAGACCUCAGAAACAAAAUUGUAGACCUCCACAAGUCUGGUUCAUCCUUGGGAGCAAUUUCCAAACGCCUGAAGGUACCAUGUUCAUCUGUACAAACAAUAGUAUGCAAGUAUAAACACCAUGGGACCACACAGCCGUCAUACUGCUCAGGAAGGAGAUGCGUUCUGUCUCCUAGAGAUGAAUGUACUUUGGUGCGAAAAGUGCAAAUCAAUCCCAGAACAACAGCAAAGGACAUUGUGUGAAGAUGCUGGAGGAAAUGGGUACAAAAGUAUCUAUAGCCACAGUGAAACGAGUCCUAUAUCGACAUAACCUGAAAGGCCGUUCAGCACUCGGAAGAAGCCACUGCUCCAAAACCGCCAUAAAAAAGCCUGACUACGGUUUGCAACUGCCCAUGGGGAGAAAGAUCAUACAUUUUAGAGAAAUAUCCUCUGGUCUGAUGAAACUAAAAUAGAGCUGUUUGGCUUAUGGCCAUUGUUAUGUUUGGAGGAAUAAGGGGGAGGCUUGCAAGCCAAAGAACACUGUCCCAACUGUGAAGCACAGGGGUGGCAGCAUCAUGUUGUGGGGGUGCUUUGCUGCAGGAGGGACUGGUUCACUUCACAAAAUAGAUGGCAUCGUGAGGGAGGAAAAUUAUGUGGAUAUAUUGAAGCAACAUCUCAAGACAUCAGUCAGGAAGUUAAAGCUUGGUCGCAAAUGGGUCUUCGAAAUGGAUAUUGACCCCAAGCAUACUUCCAAAGUUGUCGCAAAAUGGCUUAAGGACAACAAAGUCAAGGUAUUGGAGUGGCCAUCACAAAGCCCUGACCUAAAUCCUGUAGAGAAUUUCUGGGCAGAACUGAAAAAGCACGUGCAAGCAAGGAGGCCUACAAACCUGACUCCGUUACACCAGCUCUGUCAAGAGGAAUUGGCCAAAAUUCACCCAACUUAUUGUGGGAAGCUUGUGGAAGGAUACCCGAAACGUUUGACCCAAGUUAAAUAAUGUAAAGGCAAUGCUACCAAAUACUAAUUGAGUGUAUGUAAACAUCUGACCCACUGCGAAUGUGAUGAAAGAAAUAAAAGCUGAAAUAAAUAAUUCUCUACUAUUAUUCUGACAUUUCACAUUCUUAAAAUAAAGUGGUGAUCCUAACUGACAUAAAACAGGAUAUUUUUACUUGGAUUAAAUGUCAGGAGUUGUGAAAAACUGAGUUUAAAUGUAUUUGGCUAAGGUAUAUGUAAACUUUUGACUUCAACUGUAUAUACAUGCAGCUUUUCUUCUGUCAUUAGCCUAUAUGUUGCCCUUGAAGACUAAAAUAAAGCCUUGCUCACUGGAAUGUCAUAAAUUGAUGGAAUGAAUGCUUCAAUCUAGUUGACGUUGUUAAAGUCAUCUUUGCUUCUUUCACAGAGCAAAUAUGUUUAGGGACUGGGGAGAAUGCAAUAACUAAAAAACUGGAAAGAUUUUCUGUGUAAAAUUUCCAAACUACAUGAGUUUGAAAGGGUUUUAAGGAAAUAGAAAGCUGUGAAAAUGACUCGACAUGUUUCUGAUAAGAUUUAAUGUCUGCUUGGAUGGAUACUUGAUGUGGUGGAAAUACUUUCAGCUUUCAUGAUGCUGAUAAAGAUAUGGACCGUCUGUAAAGGUGCUAACUGCACAUUUUCAUUCUCUCAAGAUGUUGAUAGAAAUAUUUCUCAACACCUGUUCCCAAGUCAAAAUGUAGGCUACAUUUUGGUGUAGGCCUAUAAUUUUAAUGCAAAAAAGGCUUAAUUAUGCAGGAGUAAAAAUGAAGUCUGUGUGAGGUUAUAGACCUACUGUCAGUGUCCAGAUGUCAGUUUCCAUUUAACCCAUCUGAACAGAAAAGGAUACAGUUCCCUUGACGUGCCAUAGGCCUAUUUGAAGUCCCCGUCUUGUGACUGCCAAAUUCGUAUAGCGCGCCUCAACAUCAUCACACAAAACAUAGCUGGCACUGCAAUCAUUCUCUUUUACCAUUCACCAACUCUCCAUUUCGCAGCUUUUCUCUUAUUGAAUUUAAACUCUGACUCUCUGCCCAUUCCCAAAAGCUUUUGGCGAUAGGUGUGUAGGCUAUUUGGUGCGUAGCUAGAGUUAGACCCUAAAGCUUAAGUUUACAUAAUAAUGCCAGAAAGCCUAAAAAUAAUGAAAGAAAAAGCUCAAUGUAGCCUAUAGUUAGGGGAUAAAUUGCACAAGAAUUAUACAUUUGGAUUUUUUCAUAUAGGCUAUUGUUUUCUCUUUAUUCAGCUGCCUGCCACACACCGGCCCUUCAUCCACACAAUAUUUAAUGACCCUAAACCCGCCCGCCACGCGGAUAUAACUGCGGGGACUGCGGCUUAUGAGUCAACCUGCAAAUCAUCCCUACUUGGAAGUUGAUUCAACCACCGUCCUCUUGUGUCAUCAAGCAGGAAUGGAUUGGCAGGUGUUUUAAAAAAAAAAUCAGAAUUGCAGUCAAAUUUUGAAUUGACCAAAAUGUUCUAUAUAUAGAGUGUAUGCUUUUAUUAAACACAUUAUUUCCUGUUUCUUCUAGCUAGCAUUUAGUUUGCAACAGCACGGGUGUGUAAGAACCUUGGUCUUUACCACUCAGACCUCUGCAACACUUGCAAAAUAUGAAAUAUGAAUUAGAUCUUCCCCUUGCCAAAGAGAGCUGUGUGUGUAUGUAUAUAUACAUACAUACAUGCAUGCAUGCAUCAGAAAAUAUUCAGACCCAUGGACUUUUUCCACAUUUUGAUAGGUUACAGCCUUAUUCUAAAAUUAGUUUUCCCUCAUCAUUCUACACACAAUACCUCAUAAUGACAAAACAAAAGCAAGUUUUUAGAAAUAUGACAUUUACAUAAACAUUCAGACCCUGUACACUGUACUUUGUUGAAGUACCUUUAGCAGCAAUCACAGCCUCGAAUCUUCUUGGGUAAGAUGCUACAAGCUUGGCACACCUAUAUUUGGGGAGUUUCUAUCAUUCUUCUCUGCAGAUCCUCUCAAGCUCUGUCAGGUUGGAUGGGGAGCGUUGAUGCACAGCUAUUUUCAGGUCUCUCCAGAGAUGUUCGAGCGGGUUAAAGUCCGGGCUCUGGUUGGGCCACUCAAGGUCAUUGAGACUUGUCCCAAAGCCACUCCUGCGUUGUCUUGGCUGUGUGCUUAUGGUUGUUGUCCUGUUGGAAGGUGAACCUUUGACCCAGUCUGAGGUCCUGAGCGCUCUGGAGCAGGUUUUUAUCAAGGAUCUCUCUGUACUUUGCUCCAUUCAUCUUUGCCUCGAUCCUGACUAGUCUCCCAGUCCCUACCGCUGAAAAACAUCCCCACAGCAUGAUGCUGCCACCACCGUGCUUCACCGUAGGAAUGGUGCCAGGUUUACCCCAGACGUGACGCUUGGAAUUCAGGCCAAAGAGUUGGAUCGUUUCAUCAGACCAGAGAAUGGUUUGAGAGUCUGAUUUGAGAGUCUUUAGAUGCUUUUUGACAAACUCCAAGCGGGCUGUCAUGUGCCUUUUACUCAGGAGUGGAUUCCGUCUGGCCACUCUACCGUAAAGGCCUGAUUGGUGGAGAGCUGCAGAAAUGGUUGUCCUUCUGGAAGAUUCUCCCAUCUCCACAGAGGAACUCUCGAGCUCUGUCAGUUUGACCACCGCAUUCUUGAUCACCUCCCUGUCCAAGGCCCUUCUUCCUCGAUUUCGCAGUUUGGCCGGGCUGCCAGCUCUAGGAAGAGUAUUGGUGGUUCUAAACUUUUUUCAUUUAAGAAUGAUGGAGGCCACUGUGUUCUUCGGGACCUUCAAUGCUGCAGAAAUGAUUUGGUACCCUUCCCCGGAUCUGUUCCUCCGACACAAUCCUGUCUCGGAUCGCUACAGACAAUUCCUUCGAUCUCAUGGCUUGGUUUUUGCGCUGGCCUGCCCUGUCAACUGUGGGACCUUAUAUAAACAGGUGGGUGAAUUUCCAAAUCAUGUCUUAUCAAUUGAAUUUACCACAGGUGGACUCCAAUUCAGUUGUAGAGACAUCUCAAAGAUGAUCAAUGGAAACAGGAAGCACCUGAGCUCAAUUUUGUCUCAUAGCAAAUGGUCUGAAUACUUAUGUAAAUAAGGUAUUCUGUUUUUUUUAAUAAAUGUGCAAAAAUUUCUAAAAAGCUGUUUUCACUUUGGCAUUAUGGGGUAUUGUGUUUAGAAUGCUGCAGAUUUUAUAUUUAUUUAAUCGAUUUAAGAACAAGUGUGUACCGUAAUAAAAUGUGGGAAAAGUAAAGGGGUCUGAAUACUAUCUGAAGGUUUUCCUAAAAGUAUAUAUAUUUUUUAGAGUAGCUUACUAAUGUUGCUGUCCCCACUACAACAACAGAAGAUACAUGUAAUUUUGCGUUUGAAACAUUUAAUUGAAACACUGUCGAAUUCCAUUCAUUUCUAUUGAGGACUACUACGACUGGGGAGUGCCAAUAUGGCCCCUUAAAUGGCAAUAUAUAGCAUAGCAAUCAGGGUUUAUAUACAUCAUUGGAUAGAACCCUCAAGGUUAUUUGGCUUCACUGGGUAGGUAGUCCUAUCUAUCUAUCCUAUCCUAUCAAUCCUAUCCUAUCAAAUCUAUCCUUCCUUUUUUAGUAAAUGGUUAUUGAAUCUCGUCCAAAGAACCAAAAAGUUAUGUAUAGAUCCCCAAAUAUUUUUUUUUUCUAAGCGCAUAAGCUUUACAGUUGCUACAUUGUAGCCAGUGGUGUAGUGGUACGGGUCAUCAACAUGUGGCUUCAAUAGGCUAUUCACCAGGCUGAGUUUUUACAAUCUUAAAUCAAUCAAGUAAAAAAACAUGUUACACUGUGAUAGGAUUUUAAAGAAACGGCCUUGACAGGACAAAGGGUGGGACAUGUACUAUUAUUUAUGGUUGAGCGUUUAUUUGUCGACGCAUCCCAAAAACACUGGGUUACGUCAUGUAUUGGAACUUUGCUCCAAUCAGGACUCGCUCUGAACUAACGUCUAUGGCUUUGAAACGGGAGGGCUCAGCGUCAAUGCUACCAACGAUGACCGAGAUUCAAAAACACCGGCAAAGCGACAUCCACCAGCAAGCGGCCAACGGCCACCUGCAACAGACCCAUGCUAGGGCUACCUGAGAGACGUUACUAUUGUGGUUUAGUAUUGGACAGGCUAUGGGAUGAUUAGGUUUGCUAAACAGAGAACACUGUAUUGACAAAGGGAGUGUCAGCAGCAAGACUAGGCGCUCUUGGAAUAAAAGAAAAAGAGGCGCCCAAAUCUGUCCCUUCCGUGGACGGGUCCCCUCCUCGCGCCACUCUCGCGGAGCUAUCGCAACAAUGGACUCAGGUCUCCACGGGGAGCUCACUUUGUGUGCCAUAUCUCAAUGGGUCAGGGGUGUAUAUGCCUCGUAACGUGUGUUCUUUCCCAUGUUAACAUCGUUCUCUGGUAGUGUUUCCUUCACUCGCGUUUGGUAGGUCCAGAGUGAUAGGACUGAAGAUGCCAGGACGGAACAGGUACAAUCUGGUGGACGAUGUCGCGGAUUCGCGGGUCCCCCUCCAUAACGAAGAGGCGUACCAACACGGGAUACAUUUUCAAGCUAAGUAUGUGGGCAGUCUGGAUGUUCCCAGGCCCAACAGUCGUAUGGAGAUCGUAGCAGCCAUGAGGAGGAUCAGGUAUGAGUUCAAGGCCAAGAACAUCAAGAAGAAAAAAGUAAGCAUCAUCGUGUCUGUGGACGGAGUCAAGGUGGUCCUCCGGAAGAAACAGAAGAGGAAAGAGUGGACCUGGGACGAGAGCAAGAUGCUGAUCAUGUCUGACCCCAUAUACAGGAUCUUCUACGUGUCCCAUGACUCCCAGGACCUGAAGAUCUUCAGCUACAUCGCCAGAGAUGGCUCCAACAACUCCUUCAGGUGUAACGUCUUCAAAUCCAAGAAGAAGACCCAGGCCAUGCGUAUAGUGCGUACGGUGGGCCAGGCGUUUGAGGUGUGUCAUAAGCUUAGUCUGCAGCACGCCCAUCAGGGUAUAGAUGGACAGGCAGAUGGAGAGAGUGACAAGUCCACAGAGGACACCCCCGCUGAGGGUCGUCAGUUGACAGGGGCGGAGGAGGAGGAGGAGGAGGAGGGGUGUGGAGAGGAAGGGGAGCCCCAGGCACAGUCUCAGUCUGUGUGUGAGCAGGCGGUCAACGAGAUCCUCCAGAGUCUGGCCCAACUCAACGUGGUCCAGCCUGGACACACCAUCAUGGACUAUGAGAGCCGCUCCAGCUACAUGGUGUCUCCGAAUGGCGUGGUUUCUCCCAGCAGCCCCUGCUCGCCAUUUCUCACCCCGCUGGCGGCGCAUCACUACCUCCAGCUUCUCCAACAGCAGAUCCAGCAGCAGCAGCAACACACACAGGUGGCCGUCGCACAGGUGCAGCUCCUGAAGGAUCAGAUGUCAGUGGAGACCGCAGCUCGUGUAGAGGCCCAGGCUCGUGUCCACCAGCUGCUACUACAGAACAGAGACCUGCUCCAGCACCUGUCCCUGCUGGUCACACAGCUCAAACACCUGGAGAGCAAGGCACCGGGACAGGGACCGGGGGAUAGACACACAGCUGGACUGGGACAGGGGGAGAGACAGGGUCACAAUGAUCAGGAGUCGUCAUGGACGACCAGGUCUCUGUCACUCAACCUGAAAAACCAUUACAGCUUGAGCAGCAUGGACCAGCCCAUCACCUCCACCCCUGCAGGGCCACUCCAAAAAAAAAAAGUCACCGCUUCCCAGGUGGACGGUGCCGAGUCCUACCUCAACCUCCUCAACCUGGAGAAUGGGACCAAACCAUUGGGCUCUCAAAAUGGGGGGGAGGCGGAGACAGACACACUCAUCAGAAGAACAUCCAAUGGGAAGCCAGGGCGGAGAGACAGCUCGGAAGUGUCGUCAAAUGAGAUUGUGCGGUUCGAAACAAGGAAUUUGACAGCCCUGGAUGAAAGGUGUGAGGAACCCCUCUUGCUCAUCCUCGUCUUAAUCUAACCCUUCCAUCCCUAACCUGUAACCUCCCCCAUCCCUAACCAGUAAUCUCCCCCAUCCCUAACCAGUAACCUCCCCCAUCCCCAACCAGUAACCUCCCCCAUCCCUAAGCAGUAACAUCCCCCAUCCCUAACCAGUAAUCUCCCCCAUCCCUAACCAGUAACCUCCCCCAUCCCCAACCAGUAACCUCCACAGUCCCUAACCAGUAACCUCCCCCAGUCCCUAACCGGUAACCUCCCUCAUCCCUAACCUGUAACCUCCCCCAUCCCUAACCAGUAAUCUCCCCCAUCCCUAACCAGUAACCUCCCCCAUCCCCAACCAGUAACCUCCCCCAUCCCUAACCAGUAACAUCCCCCAUCCCUAACCAGUAAUCUCCCCCAUCCCUAACCAGUAACCUCCCCCAUCCCCAACCAGUAACCUCCACAGUCCCUAACCAGUAACCUCCCCCAGUCCCUAACCGGUAACCUCCCCCAUCCCUAACCGGUAACCUCCCCCAUCCCUAACCAGUAACCUCCCCCAUCCCUAACCGGUAACCUCCCCCAUCCCUAACCUGUAACCUCCCCCAUCCCUAACCAGUAACCUCCCCCAUCCCUAACCAGUAAUCUCCCUAACCAGUAACCUCCCCCAUCCCUAACCAGUAACCUCCCCCUUACCUAACCAGUAACCUCCCCCAUCCCUAACCAGUAACCUCCCCCAUCCCUAACCAGUAAACUCCCCCAUUCCUAACCAAUAAUCUCCCCAAUCCCUAACCAGUAACCUCCCCCAUCCCUAACCAGUAACCUCCCUAACCAGUAACCUCCCCCAUCCCUAACCAGUAACCUCCCCCUUCCCUAACCAGUAACCUCCCCCAUCCCUAACCAUUAACCUCCCCAGUCCCUAACCAGUAACCUCCCCCAUCCCUAACCAGUAACCUCCCCAAUCCCUAACCAGUAACCUCCCCCAUCCCUAACCAGUAACCUCCCCAAUCCCUAACCAGUAUCCUCCCCCAUCCCUAACCAGUAACCUCCCCCAUCCCUAACCAGUAACCUCCCCCAUCCCUAACCAGUAACCUCCCUAACCAGUAACCUCCCCCAUCCCUAACCAGUAACCUCCCCCUUCCCUAACCAGUAAUCUCCCCAAUCCCUAACCCGUAACCUCCCCCAUCCCUAACCAGUAACCUCCCCCAUCCCUAACCAGUAACCUCCCUAACCAGUAACCUCCCCCUUCCCUAACCAGUAACCUCCCCCGUCCCUAACCAGUAACCUCCCCAGUCCCUAACCAGUAACCUCCCCCAUCCCUAACCAGUAACCUCCCCAAUCCCUAACCAGUAACCUCCCCCAUCCCUAACCAGUAACCUCCCCAAUCCCUAACCAGUAUCCUCCCCCAUCCCUAACCAGUAACCUCCCCCAUCCCUAACCAGUAACCUCCCCCAUCCCUAACCAGUAACCUCCCUAACCAGUAACCUCCCCCAUCCCUAACCAGUAACCUCCCCCUUCCCUAACCAGUAAUCUCCCCAAUCCCUAACCCGUAACCUCCCCCAUCCCUAACCAGUAACCUCCCCCAUCCCUAACCAGUAACCUCCCUAACCAGUAACCUCCCCCAUCCCUAACCAGUAACCUCCCCCUUCCCUAACCAGUAAUCUCCCCAAUCCCUAACCGGUAACCUCCCCCAUCCCUAACCGGUAACCUCCCCCAUCCCUAACCAGUAACCUCCCCCAUCCCUAACCAGUAACCUCCCUAACCAGUAACCUCCCCCAUCCCUAACCAGUAACCUCCCCCUUCCCUAACCAGUAAUCUCCCCAAUCCCUAACCCGUAACCUCCCCCAUCCCUAACCAGUAACCUCCCCCAUCCCUAACCAGUAACCUCCCUAACCAGUAACCUCCCCCUUCCCUAACCAGUAACCUCCCCCGUCCCUAACCAGUAACCUCCCCAAUCCCUAACCAGUUUCCCCCCCCUAUCCCUAACCAGUAACCUCCCCCAUCCCUAAACAGUAACUUCCCCCAUCCCUAACCAGUAACCUCCCUAACCAGUAACCUCCCCCAUCCCUAACCAGUAACCUCCCCCUUCCCUAACCAGUAAUCUCCCCAAUUCCUAACCAGUAACCUCCCCAAUCACUAACCAGUAUCCUCCCCAAUCCCUAACCUGUAACCUCCCCAAUUCCUAACCAGUAACCUCCCCAAUCCCUAACCAGUAUCCUCCCCAAUCCCUAACCUGUAACCUCCCCAAUCCCUAACCAGUAUCCUCCCCAAUUCCUAACCAGUAACCUCCCCAAUCACUAACCAGUAUCCUCCCCAAUCCCUAACCUGUAACCUCCCCAAUUCCUAACCAGUAACCUCCCCCAUCCCUAAACAGUAACUUCCCCCAUCCCUAACCAGUAACCUCCCUAACCAGUAACCUCCCCCAUCCCUAACCAGUAACCUCCCCCUUCCCUAACCAGUAAUCUCCCCAAUCCCUAACCCGUAACCUCCCCAAUUCCUAACCAGUAAUCUCCCCAAUCCCUAACCAGUUACCUCCCCCAUCCCUAACCAGUAACCUCCCUAACCAGUAACCUCCCCCAUCCCUAACCAGUAUCCUCCCCCAUCCCUAACCAGUAUUCUCCCCAAUCCCUAACCAGUAACCUCCCCCAUCCCUAACCAGUAACCUCCCCAGUCCCUAUCCAGUAACCUCCCCCAUUCCUAACCAGUAACCUCCCCCAUCCCUAACCGGUAACCUCCCCCAUCCCUAACCAGUAACCUCCCCCAUCCCUAACCAGUAACCUCCCCCAUCCCUAACCAGUAACCUCCCCCAUCCCUAACCAGUAAUCUCCCCCAUUCCUAACCAGUAAUCUCCCCCAUUCCUAACCAGUAACCUCCCCAGUCCCUAACCAGUAACCUCCCCCAUUCCUAACCAGUAAUCUCCCCCAUCCCUAACCAGUAACCUCCCCCAUCCCUAACCAGUAACCUCCCCCAUCCCUAACCCGUAAUCUCCACAGUCCCUAACCAGUAACCUCCCCAGUCCCUAACCAGUAACCUCCCCCAUUCCUAACCAGUAACCUCCCCAGUCCCUAACCAGUAACCUCCCCCAUCCCUAACCCGUAAUCUCCACAGUCCCUAACCAGUAACCUCCCCAGUCCCUAACCAGUAACCUCCCCCAUCCCUAACCAGUAGCCUCCCCCAUCCCUAACCAGUAACCUCCCCCAACCCUAACCAGUAGCCUCCCCCUAUUCCUGAUUCCUGUGGUGCACCAGCCCGUCUCUCUGGGAGCCUUGGGGGCCCACUGAUAACAGAACCAUAGCCAGCCUAGCUCUCCCCUCCUCUCCUUUCCUCUUCUCUCCUCCUCUCUGUGGAUGGGAGCUGUGGGACCAAGAUAAGUGCCCAGACUGCUCUCACCAAACACACAAACACGCACAAACACACACACAUACACACACAGCUCCCAUCGGGCAGCGGCUUACCUCAAAGUGCAUUGGGUUUAAAGAAUGGAAGUGUCACUGUGAAAAUGUAAACAGUGAGGCUUAUUUCCCUUUUGAAUGCCCCUGCAUGUUAUAGAGAAAACACUCACUAUUCACUACAUUUACAUUAAGAGCAGUAGCUCAUGUUAUUGACACUAUUUGAAAUUUUGAGGAAUAUAAGACGCAUAUUUCACUUAGCCUGCAUUUCAAAUGACACCCUAAUACCCCCAUAUAGUGCACUACAUGUCAAAGUAGUGCACUAUAGGGAACAGAGUGGGGUGCCCCUCGAUGCCCUUAAACCGCCAGGUUUACACAGCUCUGGUCUAAAGUAGUUAAUCACAGUAGGGCACUACAUGGAGAAUAUGGUGUCAUUUGAGAUGUGACCUUCGAUUAAAUCCAACUCUCUUUUCUGAU